UGUGGGCUUUUUGGCCAAAGUGGGUUAUAGUUUUUUAAUAAAGAAAGAUUUUUGUGAUAUCAUAACGAAUGGUGUUAUAGUUAUGCAUGGAGAAUUAAAACAUGACAUUUAUAUUUUAUCACAAUCUGGUAGUGUAAUGUAUACAUCGAACAAAUAUUCUAGAAUAGAUAAUAUCACAGAUGCCUAUCUUUGGCAUUGUAAACUCGAUCAUAUA
This 214-nucleotide long non-coding RNA is filed under the name Elaeis guineensis (African oil palm). RNAcentral's name for it is "long non-coding RNA (EGUI_LNC062432)". Lineage: Eukaryota; Viridiplantae; Streptophyta; Magnoliopsida; Arecales; Arecaceae. The record is from RNAcentral.